RNAcentral lists this ribosomal RNA (497 nucleotides) under uncultured bacterium. RNAcentral describes it as "partial 16S ribosomal RNA". It matches the Rfam family "Bacterial small subunit ribosomal RNA", at positions 28 to 507 of the family's 1533-position model. The record is from RNAcentral.
GAUGAACGCUGGCGGCGUGCCUAAUACAUGCAAGUCGAACGCACAGACGCGGAUCUUGCUCCCCUGACGUUGGCUACGGCCGGGUGAGUAACCCGUAGAUAACCUACCUCUACGGCUGAGGUAACCUCGUACCACCUGUGCUAAUACCGGGUAAUAUAUUUAACCUGAAGGUUCACUCGUGAAUGACGGUUUUGCUGUCACUUUUAGAUGGCUCCGAGCCGCAUUAGAUAGUUGGUAAGGUAACGGCUUACCACGGCAACGAUACGUAGCCGACAUGGGAGGGUGAUGGGGCAGACUUGAGCUGAGACACGGUCACGACGCCUACGGGAGGCAGCAGUAGGGAAUCCUGGGCGAAGGGGGAAAGCAUGACGGAGCAACGGCGCGUGAGUGAUGAAGGUCUUCGAAGCGUAAGACGCUGUUAUUAGGGAAGAAAAAAUGUGUAAGUAACGAUGAACGUAUUGACGGUACCUGAUCAGAAAGCAACGGCUAACUACGUG